Molecule: non-coding RNA, 345 nt
Organism: Zootermopsis nevadensis
Lineage: Eukaryota; Metazoa; Arthropoda; Insecta; Blattodea; Termopsidae
Source: RefSeq, a predicted model, not a curated record
GCCCCGGAGGAAAACUCCGUGUUGCCUAGACCACGGCCUUGCCCAACACAAGUUAUAAAUUCGGGCACCGCCGGGAAUCGAACCCGAGACCCCAGGAUUACAAGGCCAGCGUUCUAACCGGUAGACCACCGUGAGAUGCUACCUCUUUCAGAUCCAUGUAGUCUGGUAGAAGUUUAUCAACAUUUUGGAUGUCCUUCCUGCCUCCAUUCCUCAUGAUGACAACAUGGUGCUACAACUCGGAAGACAAGCACCUUUGUCCAUCACAAACUCUGAGCUGUCACUGCUCAAUGGUUCAGUAAUUGACUUAACAAAUUCAAGACAGCAAUAAACAAACUAUAGAAUGAA